RNAcentral lists this transfer RNA (67 nucleotides) under Scotinophara lurida. Its description in RNAcentral is "tRNA-Tyr". The record is from RNAcentral. Lineage: Eukaryota; Metazoa; Arthropoda; Insecta; Hemiptera; Pentatomidae.
GAUAAGGUGGCUGAAUUUUUAGGUAAUAAAUUGUAAAUUUAUUUAUGGCUUUAUAUGCCUCUUAUCA